Mastomys coucha (southern multimammate mouse) is the source of this 136-nucleotide small nucleolar RNA. RefSeq annotates it as small nucleolar RNA SNORA17. The record is from RefSeq and is a predicted model, not a curated record. The transcript has a single exon. NCBI's taxonomy places the organism in Eukaryota, Metazoa, Chordata, Mammalia, Rodentia, Muridae.
CCUACCUCUAGAGGCAUGGUGGGUGUGGCUGCUGUGUCUCAAGAACUUCAAUCUGUAGGUAGCAGGGAGGAAAGAAGCAACUGCCUAUGCUCAGUGCUCCGACAUGGGAACAUCUGAAUGAUCAUAGCCUAACAUU